UUUUAGGGUUUGGUUCUGGCUCAGGACGAACGCUGGCGGCGUGCUUAACACAUGCAAGUCGAACGAUGAAGCCCUUCGGGGUGGAUUAGUGGCGAACGGGUGAGUAACACGUGGGCAAUCUGCCCUUCACUCUGGGACAAGCCCUGGAAACGGGGUCUAAUACCGGAUACCACUCCUGCCUGCAUGGGCGGGGGUUGAAAGCUCCGGCGGUGAAGGAUGAGCCCGCGGCCUAUCAGCUUGUUGGUGGGGUAAUGGCCCACCAAGGCGACGACGGGUAGCCGGCCUGAGAGGGCGACCGGCCACACUGGGACUGAGACACGGCCCAGACUCCUACGGGAGGCAGCAGUGGGGAAUAUUGCACAAUGGGCGAAAGCCUGAUGCAGCGACGCCGCGUGAGGGAUGACGGCCUUCGGGUUGUAAACCUCUUUCAGCAGGGAAGAAGCGAAAGUGACGGUACCUGCAGAAGAAGCGCCGGCUAACUACGUGCCAGCAGCCGCGGUAAUACGUAGGGCGCAAGCGUUGUCCGGAAUUAUUGGGCGUAAAGAGCUCGUAGGCGGCUUGUCACGUCGGAUGUGAAAGCCCGAGGCUUAACCUCGGGUCUGCAUUCGAUACGGGCUAGCUAGAGUGUGGUAGGGGAGAUCGGAAUUCCUGGUGUAGCGGUGAAAUGCGCAGAUAUCAGGAGGAACACCGGUGGCGAAGGCGGAUCUCUGGGCCAUUACUGACGCUGAGGAGCGAAAGCGUGGGGAGCGAACAGGAUUAGAUACCCUGGUAGUCCACGCCGUAAACGUUGGGAACUAGGUGUUGGCGACAUUCCACGUCGUCGGUGCCGCAGCUAACGCAUUAAGUACCCCGCCUGGGAGAGCCACGCGGCCCCCC
Molecule: ribosomal RNA, 876 nt
Filed under: Streptomyces sp. DP_00001
Lineage: Bacteria; Bacillati; Actinomycetota; Actinomycetes; Kitasatosporales; Streptomycetaceae
Description: bacterial SSU rRNA
Rfam family: Bacterial small subunit ribosomal RNA
Source: RNAcentral